RNAcentral lists this long non-coding RNA (1213 nucleotides) under Equus caballus (horse). RNAcentral's name for it is "lncRNA (ENSECAG00000059899.1)". The record is from RNAcentral. Lineage: Eukaryota; Metazoa; Chordata; Mammalia; Perissodactyla; Equidae.
CAAAAAGAUCAUUUAUUGGCUGACAUAGUUAUGAAGUCCAAGGAGGUGGAUAAAACUUAAGGCAUUCAGGUAUGGCUGCAGUCAAGGGCUCAAAUUCUGUCUUUAGGGCUAUGUCUUUCUUUAUUCCUAACUCAGUGUGUCAGCAAAGAUAGACUCUGAUUACUUGACACUUGAGGGAGAAAGAGAUGGAGAUACUCUGUUUGUCUGUCUGUCUCUCUUUCUGGAACUCUGAUUGGUCCUGCAUAAGUCGUCUUCUUUACUGGGCUAAUCAAUGUCCAGAGGGAUGGAUUCUAAUGAGCCAGCCUGGGCUGUGCACUAGCUGAUAAGGUGGGAAAGGUGGCCGUAGUCCCUGUAGGUCAGUGAAUGCCAAUUUCUCAAAAGAAAAAAAUAUCUCUACAGAAUCAUUUCAGAAAGACAUCAGCUUUGGGGAGCAGUGUAUUCUCUACCCCUCCAAAUCACACUGGCUGGAUUCCUGUUCUGCCUGGUGUUCUGGACACUGAUGAUGACUCUGGGCUUUCCCAGGAAGAAGCUGCCUGUGUCUGAGGGAAACAAGCUUUCUCUGAAAGUUUGAUGAAGAGUGGACGGUUGUGUAGAAAUGUGAUCAGGGAAAGAGUACGAGGUCACCACCAGAGCAUGGCUGCCAAUGAAUGGUGUAGGUCAAAACCUACUCCCAGGAACUGAACCCAGGCCACUGAAGCGGAACCUGCUCAACUUAGCUGCUAGGCCAUGGAAACGGCCCCUUGAAUAUUUUAAGCUGAAGGAAUUUGAGAAACAGCAGGUGCAGGAAAGACUCUCUAACUUCUCUCUCCUCUCUUGAAGCAUAAAUCCCUCAUGUGAGAGGAAUGCUCCCUAUACCCAGCAGAAAGGAGCAUCCUUAUCUCCGAAGACAAAGAGACACCAAGAAGAAUCCUAACAAACAGCCUCCGCAAAGUUACCCCAGUUUAUCACACCCUUUUGUCCUAUCAUAUUUUUCCACAACUUCCCACUUUUCAUCAAAUCUUCUAUUAAAAAAUGCUGAAGUUGAACUCUUUCUUCAGGUCUCCAUUUCCUUAUGAAGGCUGUUGUGUCAUGUAAACUCAUAUUAAAUAAAUUUGUAUGUUCUUCUCUUGUUCAUUUGUCCUUUGUCAGUUCAAUUUAUGGUGCCCCAGCUGGAGAGCCUAGGAGGGUAGUAGGGAAAGGAAUUUUUCAGCCACUACAAAAUGAUAUUAAAAAG